Molecule: ribosomal RNA, 238 nt
Filed under: uncultured Glomeromycotina
Lineage: Eukaryota; Fungi; Glomeromycota
Description: partial 18S ribosomal RNA
Rfam family: Eukaryotic small subunit ribosomal RNA (bases 38-238)
Source: RNAcentral
GGAUCAGUACGUUGGUCGUGCCCUAGGUACGUACUGGUGUUACUGGUUCCUACCUUCUGACGAACCAUCAUGUCAUUAAUUUGGUGUGGCGGGGAAUCAGGACUGUUACUUUGAAAAAAUUAGGGUGUUUAAAGCAGGCUCGAGCUUGAAUACAUUAGCAUGGAAUAAUGAAAUAGGACGUUGAUCCUAUUUUGUUGGUUUCUAGGACCGAAGUAAUGAUUAAUAGGGAUAGUUGGGC